CCUACGGGAGGCUGCAGUGGGGAAUAUUGGACAAUGGGCGAAAGCCUGAUCCAGCCAUGCCGCGUGUGUGAAGAAGGCCUUCGGGUUGUAAAGCACUUUCAGUGGGGAAGAAAGCCUUGGGGCUAAUACCCUCGAGGAAGGACAUCACCCACAGAAGAAGCACCGGCUAACUCCGUGCCAGCAGCCGCGGUAAUACGGAGGGUGCGAGCGUUAAUCGGAAUUACUGGGCGUAAAGCGUGCGUAGGCGGUCUGAUAAGCCGGUUGUGAAAGCCCCGGGCUCAACCUGGGAACGGCAUCCGGAACUGUCAGGCUAGAGUGCAGGAGAGGAAGGUAGAAUUCCCGGUGUAGCGGUGAAAUGCGUAGAGAUCGGGAGGAAUACCAGUGGCGAAGGCGGCCUUCUGGACUGACACUGACGCUGAGGUGCGAAAGCGUGGGUAGCAAACAGGAUUAGAUACCCUGGUAGUC
Molecule: ribosomal RNA, 465 nt
Filed under: Vreelandella stevensii
Lineage: Bacteria; Pseudomonadati; Pseudomonadota; Gammaproteobacteria; Oceanospirillales; Halomonadaceae
Description: partial 16S ribosomal RNA
Rfam family: Bacterial small subunit ribosomal RNA
Source: RNAcentral